AUUGAACGCUGGCGGCAUGCCUUACACAUGCAAGUCGAACGGCAGCACGGGAGCAAUCCUGGUGGCGAGUGGCGAACGGGUGAGUAAUAUAUCGGAACGUGCCCAGUCGUGGGGGAUAACGUAGCGAAAGCUACGCUAAUACCGCAUACGAUCUAUGGAUGAAAGCGGGGGAUCGCAAGACCUCGCGCGAUUGGAGCGGCCGAUAUCAGAUUAGGUAGUUGGUGAGGUAAAGGCUCACCAAGCCGACGAUCUGUAGCUGGUCUGAGAGGACGACCAGCCACACUGGGACUGAGACACGGCCCAGACUCCUACGGGAGGCAGCAGUGGGGAAUUUUGGACAAUGGGCGCAAGCCUGAUCCAGCAAUGCCGCGUGCAGGAUGAAGGCCUUCGGGUUGUAAACUGCUUUUGUACGGAACGAAACGGUGAACUCUAAUACAGUUUGCUAAUGACGGUACCGUAAGAAUAAGCACCGGCUAACUACGUG
This 484-nucleotide ribosomal RNA is filed under the name uncultured bacterium. RNAcentral's name for it is "bacterial SSU rRNA". It matches the Rfam family "Bacterial small subunit ribosomal RNA", at positions 30 to 507 of the family's 1533-position model. The record is from RNAcentral.